GACAGAGGCCUCAAGCGUUAGGCGGAAUCACUGGGCGUAAAGCGCACGUAGGCGGAUCUUUAAGUCGGGGGUGAAAUCCUGGAGCUCAACUCCAGAACUGCCUUCGAUACUGAGGAUCUCGAGUCCGGGAGAGGUGAGUGGAACUGCGAGUGUAGAGGUGAAAUUCGUAGAUAUUCGCAAGAACACCAGUGGCGAAGGCGGCUCACUGGCCCGGUACUGACGCUGAGGUGCGAAAGCGUGGGGAGCAAACAGG
This 253-nucleotide ribosomal RNA is filed under the name uncultured bacterium. RNAcentral describes it as "partial 16S ribosomal RNA". It matches the Rfam family "Bacterial small subunit ribosomal RNA", at positions 524 to 776 of the family's 1533-position model. The record is from RNAcentral.